This is a small nucleolar RNA of Cynocephalus volans (Philippine flying lemur), 134 nucleotides long. RefSeq annotates it as small nucleolar RNA SNORA1. The record is from RefSeq and is a predicted model, not a curated record. Lineage: Eukaryota; Metazoa; Chordata; Mammalia; Dermoptera; Cynocephalidae. The transcript has a single exon.
AGCUAUAUCUACAAAACUAUUAUUAAAAAAUGGAAUCUAUGUCCAAAAUUGUUAAUGUGGCUAAAUUGAGACACAGGUUAUGCUUCCAUCACAGUAAAUGUAUUGCAGUGGUGACAAUGAGACCUGUAACAUUU